Molecule: non-coding RNA, 97 nt
Organism: Mycena polygramma
Lineage: Eukaryota; Fungi; Basidiomycota; Agaricomycetes; Agaricales; Mycenaceae
Source: the annotation of a GenBank genome assembly
ACCUCUGUGGACUAGGAAAGUCUCCUCGUUGCUGUCCGGCAUUCUCGAUUUCAUGGAGUAUAGUGAGGAGACGAGGGUUCGACUCCCUCCAGAGGUU